This 203-nucleotide ribosomal RNA is filed under the name uncultured bacterium. RNAcentral's name for it is "partial 16S ribosomal RNA". It matches the Rfam family "Bacterial small subunit ribosomal RNA", at positions 1297 to 1500 of the family's 1533-position model. The record is from RNAcentral.
AUUGCAGUCUGCAACUCGAGUGCAUGAAGCUGGAAUCGCUAGUAAUCGCGGAUCAGAAUGCCGCGGUGAAUACGUUCCCGGGUCUUGUACACACCGCCCGUCACACCAUGGGAGUCGGGAAUGCCCGAAGCCUGUGAGCUAACUUAAAGAGGCAGCAGUCGAAGGUAGAGCCAAUGAUUGGGGUGAAGUCGUAACAAGGUAGC